CAUGUUUAAUUAUAUGUUGUUAAAAAUUCAAAUUUGAUUUUUUCUUGCUUUGUUUUGAUAAAUCACUAGUACAUUGUAUAUAAAAAUUAGUUUAUAUAUAGUAAUAAAGUAUGUUUAAGUUUUAACCUUGUUGUAAUAUAGGAUUGAAAACCAUGGUUAGUGAAUUCUUGGUGAACCGACCCGACGGGUCAACAGGUAAAAAGGGGAGAACUGUGGAAUAAAACCAAACGCGAGUGUUGUAUUGUUAAUAACUAAUCCUAAUUAUAUAUACUCGUGUGUUGUAAUGAAUUAAAUUGACCCAUAUGUUACAAGUUUGAGUUGUAUGUGAAAACUUGCAUAAACUGAUACACGUAUUUUGACUUUAGGAAGGCAACAAGUUUAAAGAGGACCUCAAGUAAUUUAAGGGUCUAUAAGUUGAUGUGUGUUUUACAUGACCUUAGUUGUGAAAGUUUAAGUGAUUUUAUAAAUUAGAUGUUAUUUAUAUUUUUAUUAACAUAUAGAUGUUAUUUAUAUUUACAUUUACAUAUAGGUGUAUAGAUAUAGAUUUAGAUAACCCUUUAGAAUUACCCGUCUAAAAUUUAUCUAAUAGAGAUAAAUUUUGGAUUGUCCCGUUUUGGGACUGCUUUUUGAAUAUUCUAUCUCAUUUAGGAUAUGUAUACAUUUUAACGAAACGUCAUUUAAGAAAAGAUCGGUUGGUAUUUCCUCUACUCCUACGGGUUUGCGGUUUUAUGCAUACUUGGGGAGUUAAGGGGAAAUGCUUCCUCAUAACAACUUCUUCAUCUUCAUUCAAGAAUUUCACCAUAUAUUUUAUUCUUGUUUUAAGGUACUUUUAUAAGGAGUCAGAGGCUUAAAAACGCAACCGAUGCGCCUUUUUAAAUGUGAACGCAAUCACAGGUGAUAUGUGCAAAAGAAAUCCUAGAGAGGUUGAAGAUCACAUUUUCAGUUUAGCGACUCAUCAUGUCGAUAAAGAUUUCAUUCUUGCACCGCAUUUGGCUGACGACCAUUGGUCUUUGUUCAUCAUUGCCCAACACAUGGGACAUGUUUAUAUUUUGGAUUCAACAAAGAUAAACGGAGAAAAGAAUGCUUCUAACUGUCGUCUUUCAAGCCUAAUUCCUACCGCCUUAGGAUCCGAGUUCAACUACACAAUGGUUGAUUGUAAGCAACAAAAGGGUGGAUGAGAAUGCGGCUACAUGGUUCUCCAACAUAUGUUUGACUUUGUCAAUUUGUAUCAAAACCAAUUUCCUGAUGAAAUGUGGCACGACACGAGAGUGGCUACGGAUAAUGAAAUAGAUGUUUUGUUGAUGACGUUGAUGCCGAAGUUUUUUAGCGAGUUAGGUAUUCCGUUAGUUUAGCUUACGUGUAGUUUGUUAUGUAUUCACAAAUGAUUGUAAUUUGACGGGUUUAUUUCCGAAUUGGAUGUGGGGUUUAUUUUGGA
Helianthus annuus (common sunflower) is the source of this 1435-nucleotide long non-coding RNA. RefSeq lists it as uncharacterized. The transcript is spliced from 4 exons. NCBI's taxonomy places the organism in Eukaryota, Viridiplantae, Streptophyta, Magnoliopsida, Asterales, Asteraceae. The record is from RefSeq and is a predicted model, not a curated record.